GGACGUAAGGGUGAUCUGGCUGCGACAUCUGUCACCCCAUUGAUCGCCAGGGUUAUUUUGGCUGAUCUGGCUGGCUAGGUGGGUGUCCCCUUCCUCCCUCACCGCUCCAUGUGCAUCCCUUUGGAAGUUGCGAGCUAGGUCUAAGAGGACGACCUUCCCCCGAAUAGUGGAGGACCGGUCUUCCGGUACACCGGUCUUGGUCUUCGGUAUAGGAGUAGCUGCGCUCCCCUGCUAGAACCUCCAAACAAGCUCAAGGUUCAUCCUUUUCUUAUUAAAGCAACUAAUUCUAUCCUAAGGGCUCCACCCUCAAGGUUUGAUAAAAGUCAACAGACUU
This is an unclassified non-coding RNA of Meriones unguiculatus (Mongolian gerbil), 334 nucleotides long. Its record names the gene 7SK. It matches the Rfam family "7SK RNA". From Rfam's summary of the family: 7SK was discovered as an abundant small nuclear RNA in the mid-70s but a possible function has only recently been suggested. Two independent studies have found that 7SK RNA binds the CDK9/cyclin T complex (known as elongation factor P-TEFb). Lineage: Eukaryota; Metazoa; Chordata; Mammalia; Rodentia; Muridae. The record is from Ensembl.